Molecule: transfer RNA, 68 nt
Rfam family: tRNA
About the family: Transfer RNA (tRNA) molecules are approximately 80 nucleotides in length. Their secondary structure includes four short double-helical elements and three loops (D, anti-codon, and T loops).
UGAUUAGCUCAGUGGUAGAGCGCUUCGUUCACAUCGAAGAUGUCAGGGGUUCAAAUCCCUUAUUACCC